RNAcentral lists this ribosomal RNA (305 nucleotides) under uncultured bacterium. RNAcentral describes it as "bacterial SSU rRNA". It matches the Rfam family "Bacterial small subunit ribosomal RNA", at positions 337 to 656 of the family's 1533-position model. The record is from RNAcentral.
UCCUACGGGGGGCAGCAGUGGGGAAUAUUGGGCAAUGGGCGCAAGCCUGACCCAGCAACGCCGCGUGAAGGAAGAAGGCUUUCGGGUUGUAAACUUCUUUUAUUCGGGACGAAGAAAGUGACGGUACCGAAUGAAUAAGCCACGGCUAACUACGUGCCAGCAGCCGCGGUAAUACGUAGGUGGCAAGCGUUAUCCGGAUUUACUGGGUGUAAAGGGCGUGUAGGCGGGACUGCAAGUCAGAUGUGAAAAUUAUGGGCUCAACCCAUAACCUGCAUUUGAAACUGUAGUUCUUGAGUGAUGGAGAG